UUCCUAGGGCACUUUUUUGUUUUGUUUUGUUUUCCCAACUGCUGCCAUCUGUGGCUUCUACUAUGCGGAUUAAUUGGCCUCUUUAAUAAGCGUGUCAACUUUUCUUAAUGCCUGUGAGCAUGCUUUCAAUUUAAAGGCAACUGCCUUUUUUUUUUUUGCACCUCAGUCUUGCACUAAGUCCUUAAGCAGACGGGUGGGAUGCCAAUUUCCUUUGGAUAGGAAUGAGGAAUAUCAAUUCCCAUGAGCACUCUGCUUGCUCUGGGCAGAUGUGCUGGCUCUAUCACUGCCUAGAGUUAUUCAUUAGGGUGACUUACGAUGCUCUGUGCUUUUUAUCUGUAUGAAUUUUAUUCUCAGCAUUCACCGUGAGAGGAAAAAAAAAAGGUCUCAGAAGCUAUUAAUAACAACAAAAGAGUAUUUUAUGUCCAAACGAAUCCAAACCUUAAAGAAUUCAUCAUGCUAUUUCCAGGAAGUUAAAUAUGUCGUUUUAAUCAUAAAUAUCAAAACAGACACUGCUGGUAUCCAAACUCAUGCCAGAGGCUGCAGAUGACACUGAAAAUACUACAGUAAUGUUACAAAUCUGAUUCUUGCAGAUGCUAAGUGAGCUGUUGCCAGGACUAAUUAGCUCAUGAUGAGUGUCAGCAAGCCGGUCCUCUUGGAAUAGUCAUUUGUCUCUAAUAGACCUUCAGUGGUUGUUAACUUUGUGAGCUCAAAGACAGACCCACACAGUGGCUAUCCAUUAGCUCUUCCCAAACAAAGUCAUGAUAAAAAUUCAUUUAAAACAUCGAUGACAUAAUUAUAGCUCCUAUUUGUUUGGAGUGCCAACUAUGUUUCUGACAUUUUACCAGUCUUCCUCCAUCUUGUUAGGCCUUUCAAUAGCUAUUAUCUUGAAAUUUCAGUCGAGGGCCAAAGGG
Perognathus longimembris pacificus (Pacific pocket mouse) is the source of this 911-nucleotide long non-coding RNA. RefSeq lists it as uncharacterized. The record is from RefSeq and is a predicted model, not a curated record. The transcript has 3 exons. Lineage: Eukaryota; Metazoa; Chordata; Mammalia; Rodentia; Heteromyidae.